AGAUUGAGCGAUCUCCGCCAAUGUUCUCGAUCUUCUUUUCUUGAAUGAAGCCUUUUCAAGCCUCUCUUCUUCUCUCUCUCUCCCUAUCUUCUUUUGUGGCCCACGGCCUCCUCUUCUUUUUAUGUUUUGUGUUUCUCAUGUCACAUCCAUAAACUCCCUUUUAUAGAUAAAAAAUUAGAGUCCAUUUUGGACUCCUUUUCCAUGCAUAAGAAGGCUUCCCACGCCAUUGGUUCUGUGCACACGACUUUUUCCAUGCUACAAAAGUUUUUCAUGUCUCACGUAGUUUCCAUGCGCCA
This 296-nucleotide long non-coding RNA is filed under the name Elaeis guineensis (African oil palm). Its description in RNAcentral is "long non-coding RNA (EGUI_LNC079163)". Lineage: Eukaryota; Viridiplantae; Streptophyta; Magnoliopsida; Arecales; Arecaceae. The record is from RNAcentral.